AGAGUUUGAUCAUGGCUCAGAAUGAACGCUGGCGGCGUGCUUAACACAUGCAAGUCGAACGAUGAAGCCUAGCUUGCUAGGUGGAUUAGUGGCGCACGGGUGAGUAAUAUAUAGGUAACGUGCCUCUUAGUCUGGGAUAGCCAUUGGAAACGAUGAUUAAUACUGGAUACUCCUUCUAACUCUAAUGUUAGUCGGGAAAGUUUUUCGCUAAGAGAUCGGCCUAUUUCCCAUCAGCUUGUUGGUAGUGUAAGAGACUACCAAGGCUAUGACGGGUAGCGGGUUUGAGAGGAUGAUCCGCCACACUGGUACUGAGACACGGACCAGACUCCUACGGGAGGCAGCAGUGAGGAAUAUUGCACAAUGGAGGAAACUCUGAUGCAGCAACGCCGCGUGGAGGAUGACGCAUUUCGGUGUGUAAACUCCUUUUAUGAGUCAAGAAAAUGACGGUAGCUCAUGAAUAAGCACCGGCUAACUCCGUGCCAGCAGCCGCGGUAAUACGGAGGGUGCAAGCGUUAUUCGGAAUCACUGGGCGUAAAGGACGCGUAGGCGGGAAGCCAAGUCUGAUGUGAAAUCCUAUGGCUCAACCAUAGAACUGCAUUGGAAACUGGUUACCUAGAGUAUGGGAGGGGGAGAUGGAAUUAGUGGUGUAGGGGUAAAAUCCGUAGAUAUCACUAGGAAUACCGAAAGCGAAGGCGAUCUCCUGGAACAAUACUGACGCUAAGGCGUGAAAGCGUGGGGAGCAAACGGGAUUAGAUACCCUGGUAGUCCACGCCCUAAACGAUGUACAUUAGUUGUUGCGAUGCUAGACAUUGCAGUAAUGCAGUUAACACAUUAAAUGUACCGCCUGGGGAGUACGGUCGCAAGAUUAAAACUCAAAGGAAUAGACGGGGACCCGCACAAGCGGUGGAGCACGUGGUUUAAUUCGACGAUACGCGAAGAACCUUACCUGGCCUUGACAUAGAAAGAAUUUAGCAGAGAUGUAAAAGUGCUAGUUUACUAGAGCUUUCAUACAGGUGCUGCACGGCUGUCGUCAGCUCGUGUCGUGAGAUGUUAGGUUAAGUCCUGCAACGAGCGCAACCCUCGUGUUUAGUUACUAACAGUUCGGCUGAGGACUCUAGACAUACUGCCUGGGCAACCAGGAGGAAGGUGAGGACGACGUCAAGUCAUCAUGGCCCUUACGGCCAGGGCUACACACGUGCUACAAUGGGGUAUACAAAGAGCCGCAAUACCGCGAGGUGGAGCAAAUCUCAUAAAAUAUCUCCCAGUUCGGAUUACACUCUGCAACUCGAGUGUAUGAAGUUGGAAUCGCUAGUAAUCGUAGAUCAGCAAUGCUACGGUGAAUACGUUCCCGGGUCUUGUACUCACCGCCCGUCACACCAUGGGAGUUGAAUUCAUUCGAAGCGGGGAUGCUAAAAUAGCUACCUUCCACAGUGGAUUUAGUAACUAGGGUGAAGUCGUAACAAGGUAACC
RNAcentral lists this ribosomal RNA (1470 nucleotides) under uncultured bacterium. Its description in RNAcentral is "bacterial SSU rRNA". It matches the Rfam family "Bacterial small subunit ribosomal RNA". The record is from RNAcentral.